UACGUAGGGUGCAAGCGUUAAUCGGAAUUACUGGGCGUAAAGCGUGCGCAGGCGGUGAUGUAAGACAGAUGUGAAAUCCCCGGGCUCAACCUGGGAAUGGCGUCUGAAACUACGGAGCUGGAGUGUGGCAGAGGGAGGUAGAAUUCCACGUGUAGCGGUGAAAUGCGUAGAUAUGUGGAGGAAUACCGAUGGCGAAGGCAGCCUCCUGGGCCAACACUGACGCUCAUGCACGAAAGCGUGGGGAGCAAACAGG
Molecule: ribosomal RNA, 253 nt
Filed under: uncultured bacterium
Lineage: Bacteria
Description: partial 16S ribosomal RNA
Rfam family: Bacterial small subunit ribosomal RNA
Source: RNAcentral